UUUAUGGAGAGUUUGAUCCUGGCUCAGGAUGAACGCUGGCGGCGUGCCUAAUACAUGCAAGUCGAGCGAACGGACGAGAAGCUUGCUUCUCUGAUGUUAGCGGCGGACGGGUGAGUAACACGUGGAUAACCUACCUAUAAGACUGGGAUAACUUCGGGAAACCGGAGCUAAUACCGGAUAAUAUUUUGAACCGCAUGGUUCAAAAGUGAAAGACGGUCUUGCUGUCACUUAUAGAUGGAUCCGCGCUGCAUUAGCUAGUUGGUAAGGUAACGGCUUACCAAGGCAACGAUGCAUAGCCGACCUGAGAGGGUGAUCGGCCACACUGGAACUGAGACACGGUCCAGACUCCUACGGGAGGCAGCAGUAGGGAAUCUUCCGCAAUGGGCGAAAGCCUGACGGAGCAACGCCGCGUGAGUGAUGAAGGUCUUCGGAUCGUAAAACUCUGUUAUUAGGGAAGAACAUAUGUGUAAGUAACUGUGCACAUCUUGACGGUACCUAAUCAGAAAGCCACGGCUAACUACGUGCCAGCAGCCGCGGUAAUACGUAGGUGGCAAGCGUUAUCCGGAAUUAUUGGGCGUAAAGCGCGCGUAGGCGGUUUUUUAAGUCUGAUGUGAAAGCCCACGGCUCAACCGUGGAGGGUCAUUGGAAACUGGAAAACUUGAGUGCAGAAGAGGAAAGUGGAAUUCCAUGUGUAGCGGUGAAAUGCGCAGAGAUAUGGAGGAACACCAGUGGCGAAGGCGACUUUCUGGUCUGUAACUGACGCUGAUGUGCGAAAGCGUGGGGAUCAAACAGGAUUAGAUACCCUGGUAGUCCACGCCGUAAACGAUGAGUGCUAAGUGUUAGGGGGUUUCCGCCCCUUAGUGCUGCAGCUAACGCAUUAAGCACUCCGCCUGGGGAGUACGACCGCAAGGUUGAAACUCAAAGGAAUUGACGGGGACCCGCACAAGCGGUGGAGCAUGUGGUUUAAUUCGAAGCAACGCGAAGAACCUUACCAAAUCUUGACAUCCUUUGACAACUCUAGAGAUAGAGCCUUCCCCUUCGGGGGACAAAGUGACAGGUGGUGCAUGGUUGUCGUCAGCUCGUGUCGUGAGAUGUUGGGUUAAGUCCCGCAACGAGCGCAACCCUUAAGCUUAGUUGCCAUCAUUAAGUUGGGCACUCUAAGUUGACUGCCGGUGACAAACCGGAGGAAGGUGGGGAUGACAUCAAAUCAUCAUGCCCCUUAUGAUUUGGGCUACACACGUGCUACAAUGGACAAUACAAAGGGCAGCGAAACCGCGAGGUCAAGCAAAUCCCAUAAAGUUGUUCUCAGUUCGGAUUGUAGUCUGCAACUCGACUACAUGAAGCUGGAAUCGCUAGUAAUCGUAGAUCAGCAUGCUACGGUGAAUACGUUCCCGGGUCUUGUACACACCGCCCGUCACACCACGAGAGUUUGUAACACCCGAAGCCGGUGGAGUAACCUUUUAGGAGCCAGCCGUCGAAGGUGGGACAAAUGAUUGGGGUGAAGUCGUAACAAGGUAGCCGUAUCGGAAGGUGCGGCUGGAUCACCUCCUUU
Molecule: ribosomal RNA, 1552 nt
Filed under: Staphylococcus aureus
Lineage: Bacteria; Bacillati; Bacillota; Bacilli; Caryophanales; Staphylococcaceae
Also listed under: 1 other name
Description: 16S ribosomal RNA
Rfam family: Bacterial small subunit ribosomal RNA
Source: RNAcentral